RNAcentral lists this ribosomal RNA (450 nucleotides) under uncultured bacterium. Its description in RNAcentral is "partial 16S ribosomal RNA". It matches the Rfam family "Bacterial small subunit ribosomal RNA", at positions 354 to 796 of the family's 1533-position model. The record is from RNAcentral.
GUGGGGAAUAUUGGACAAUGGGCGAAAGCCUGAUCCAGCCAUGCCGCGUGUGUGAAGAAGGUCUUCGGAUUGUAAAGCACUUUAAGUUGGGAGGAAGGGCAGUAAGUUAAUACCUUGCUGUUUUGACGUUACCGACAGAAUAAGCACCGGCUAACUUCGUGCCAGCAGCCGCGGUAAUACGAAGGGUGCAAGCGUUAAUCGGAAUUACUGGGCGUAAAGCGCGCGUAGGUGGUUUUGUAAGUUGGAGGUGAAAUCCCCGGGCACAACCUGGGAACUGCCUCCACAACUGCAUGACUAGAGUACGGUAGAGGGUAGUGGAAUUUCCUGUGUAGCGGUGAAAUGCGUAGAUAUAGGAAGGAACACCAGUGGCGAAGGCGACUACCUGGACUGAUACUGACACUGACGUGCGAAAGCGUGGUGAGCAAACAGAAUUAGAAACCCCAGUAGUCC